UAAGUUACUGAUUGAUGCCAAACUCAAUUUGACGGAAGUUGGUAAUACUGUUCUGCUAGAGGGCAGAAGAGGUUGAUGGAAUUCUGUGAGGAGCGGUGAAAUGCGUUGAUCUGCAGAGGAACACCAAAAAAGGCGAAGGCAUUCAACUAUUCUGUUCCUGACAUUGAGGCAUGAAAGCGUGGGGAGCAAACCGGAUUAGAUACCCGGGUAGUCCACGCCCUAAACGAUGAGCAUUAGAUAUUAGACGUUAAGUUUAGUGUCGCCGCUAACGCUGUAAAUGCUCCGCCUGGGUACUACGGCCGCAAGGCUAAAACUCAAAGGAAUUGACGGGGACCCGCACAAGCGGUGGAGCAUGUGGUUCAAUUCGAUACGACGCGCAGAACCUUACCAAGGCUUGACAUGGAGGGCAAAGUUGAAGAAAUUCAACAGAGGUUAUCCCGACACAGGUGGUGCAUGGUCGUCGUCAGUUCGUGCUGUGAAGCGUAUGCUUAAGUGCUAUAACGAACGCAACCCUCAUAUUUAGUUGCUACCAUUCAGUUGAGAACUCUAAAUAGACUGCUAAGAAAAACUUAGAGGAAGGUGAGGAUGACGUCUGGUCGU
This 600-nucleotide ribosomal RNA is filed under the name Candidatus Moeniiplasma glomeromycotorum. RNAcentral describes it as "bacterial SSU rRNA". It matches the Rfam family "Bacterial small subunit ribosomal RNA", at positions 584 to 1193 of the family's 1533-position model. The record is from RNAcentral. Lineage: Bacteria; Bacillati; Mycoplasmatota; Mollicutes; Mycoplasmatales; Mycoplasmataceae.